This 444-nucleotide ribosomal RNA is filed under the name Streptococcus mitis. RNAcentral's name for it is "bacterial SSU rRNA". It matches the Rfam family "Bacterial small subunit ribosomal RNA", at positions 28 to 464 of the family's 1533-position model. Lineage: Bacteria; Bacillati; Bacillota; Bacilli; Lactobacillales; Streptococcaceae. The record is from RNAcentral.
GACGAACGCUGGCGGCGUGCCUAAUACAUGCAAGUAGAACGCUGAAGGAGGAGCUUGCUUCUCUGGAUGAGUUGCGAACGGGUGAGUAACGCGUAGGUAACCUGCCUGGUAGCGGGGGAUAACUAUUGGAAACGAUAGCUAAUACCGCAUAAUAGCAGUUAUUGCAUGAUAACUGUUUGAAAGGUGCAAUUGCACCACUACCAGAUGGACCUGCGUUGUAUUAGCUAGUUGGUGGGGUAACGGCUCACCAAGGCGACGAUACAUAGCCGACCUGAGAGGGUGAUCGGCCACACUGGGACUGAGACACGGCCCAGACUCCUACGGGAGGCAGCAGUAGGGAAUCUUCGGCAAUGGACGGAAGUCUGACCGAGCAACGCCGCGUGAGUGAAGAAGGUUUUCGGAUCGUAAAGCUCUGUUGUAAGAGAAGAAACGAGUGUGAGAAGU